CGGCGUGCCUAACACAUGCAAGUCGUACGAGAAAGCCGGCUUCGGCUGGUGAGUAAAGUGGCGCACGGGUGAGUAACGCGUGGAUAAUCUGCCCUUAAGUGUGGAAUAACGUACCGAAAGGUGCGCUAAUACCGCAUAAUGCCUGGCAACACAAGUUGUCCGGCCAAAGAAGGCCUCUGUUUACAAGCUUUCGCUUCAGGAUGAGUCCGCGUACCAUUAGCUUGUUGGUGGGGUAAUGGCCUACCAAGGCUGCGAUGGUUAGCUGGUCUGAGAGGAUGAUCAGCCACACUGGAACUGAGACACGGUCCAGACUCCUACGGGAGGCAGCAGUGAGGAAUAUUGCGCAAUGGGGGCAACCCUGACGCAGCAACGCCGCGUGAGUGAGGUAAGGUUUUCGGACUGUAAAGCUCUGUCGAGCGGGAAGAAGUGUACCAUGGCUAAUAUCCAUGAUAUUUGACGGUACCGCUAGAGGAAGCACCGGCUAACUCCGUG
RNAcentral lists this ribosomal RNA (492 nucleotides) under uncultured bacterium. RNAcentral describes it as "bacterial SSU rRNA". It matches the Rfam family "Bacterial small subunit ribosomal RNA", at positions 40 to 507 of the family's 1533-position model. The record is from RNAcentral.